Betta splendens (Siamese fighting fish) is the source of this 576-nucleotide long non-coding RNA. RefSeq lists it as uncharacterized. The transcript is spliced from 3 exons. Lineage: Eukaryota; Metazoa; Chordata; Actinopteri; Anabantiformes; Osphronemidae. The record is from RefSeq and is a predicted model, not a curated record.
CGCGCUUGGCCUUCUCCAGCAGAGCCAGGUCGUCCUGGUCCCACAUGUAGAUGGCGUAGGACAGCCGCGCCAUGAACUGAGGGUACAGCUGGUGGCUCUCAGUGGUGACACCUCUGGCAAAGCGUCGCAUGAGGUGCCACACGUCCAGCCUCACCACCAGCUGGUCCCACUCGGAGAACAUGGCGGAUGUGCCCGUCCGUCCAGUGAGGGAGCAGCAGUCACGGCCCACGUACAGCACCGCUGGAGGGGCCACCUGGGCUUCUCGGUACCGCCGCAUCAGCCCUGCGGCCAUGGGCAAAAGCCCAUCCCCCUCUGCAGCCGUGAGGACGGACAUGAGCACCUGGUAGAGGUGGAGAGCAGAGAACAACAAGUGCCCGCAGCUUUGCCAGCCAGCUUGGAGGUCAUCUGGACGUGUGACAAAAGGCAGAAAGAAAAUAUUCCAUCUUCAGAAUGUUGCCGAAGAUAGACGUGACCCUGGCCUUGGUCGCCUCCAGCCUAGACAGGGCGUCCCUGACAAAGACGGAGAGGAGCCAGCCCACGGUGGGCACCGGGUGCAGGGGUGGGACAGUCACCGGC